Molecule: ribosomal RNA, 206 nt
Filed under: uncultured bacterium
Lineage: Bacteria
Description: partial 16S ribosomal RNA
Rfam family: Bacterial small subunit ribosomal RNA
Source: RNAcentral
GACGAACGCUGGCGGCGUGCCUAAUACAUGCAAGUUCGAGCGGACCAUCAGGAGUGCUUGCACUCCUGACGGUCAGCGGCGGACGGGUGAGUAACACGUAGGUAACCUGCCCGUAAGGCCGGGAUAACAUCCGGAAACGGAUGCUAAUACCGGAUACGCAAUUCCUUCGCAUGGGGGGAUUGGGAAAGGCGGUUCCGAUUGAAUUC